Molecule: long non-coding RNA, 1070 nt
Filed under: Equus caballus (horse)
Lineage: Eukaryota; Metazoa; Chordata; Mammalia; Perissodactyla; Equidae
Description: lncRNA (ENSECAG00000046671.1)
Source: RNAcentral
GAGGCGGGCGGGAGCCCAGACCUCACUUGAACUGAAGGAAGCUAGAGCGAGAAAGGAGGGGCACAGUGCUUCUGCGGGCUCCCACCUGAAGACAGAGACAGAAGCUGGACUGAAUGGAGAAAUGCCUGGCAUGAGUGGUGCCGUGAGUCAGCGCAGAUCCAAGCUCUGUCCCUCUGCCCCUCUGCUCUGCUCUUUGCCAGACCACACAGCCUCCCUCCCCUCCUGCCAAGCGUGGCCAGCGUGCCGUCCAGACACAAUCAAGGCCUGAAAAGACGAUGAGAAUGCAGAUCUGGAAAUUCUGGCUGUAAAAUACCCCACAGAAAGGUGAACGAAGAAGGAACCACAAAUAAAGUCACCGCCACUGAGUGUUUACUGUGUGUUAUGGGUUGAACUGUGCCCACCCCCAAAAACCCAUGUGUUCCAGUCCUAACCCCCAGAGUGUGCCCUUAUUUGGAAAUAAGGUUGGUGCAGACACAAUUAGUUAAGCUGAGGUCAUAAGGAGCAGAGUGGGCCCCUUAUCCAAUACGACUGGUGUCCUCACGAAAAGGGAAAAUUUGAACACAGACACACUCAGGGAGAACACCGUGUGAAGAGUGGAGUCACGCUGCCCCAAACCAAGGACCUACCAGAAGCUCCGAGAGAGGCCUGGAACAGAUCCUUCUCUGGAGCUUUCAGAGGGAGCACAACCCUGACGACACCUGGAUCUUGGACUUCCGGCCUCCAGAACUGUGAGACAACAAAUUCCUGUUGUUUCAGCCUCUCAGUUCAUGGUCCUCUGUUACAGCAGCCCUGGCAAAUGCAUAUGAUAUGUAAUAGGUGCUAUGCUAACUGAUUUACAUCCACUGUCUCAUUUAACCCUCGGGACAACCCAUCAAUAGGUACCAUGGUCCGUUUUAUGGAAGAAUAAAUUAAACGAGAGGAAGGGUAAGUAACUUGUUCAAGGCUGAGCUGCUUCAAUCUAAAAGGACAGUGGUAUUCAAAGCCUCGGGCUCAGGGAAGCCCGCCCCACACCCAACCUACCCUAAUUGGGUAAAUCCCACGGCGUUCUUCACUCAGCCUUUCAAUCCUUG